AAUUAUACAGAGAAUGACGA
RNAcentral lists this small nuclear RNA (20 nucleotides) under Arabidopsis thaliana (thale cress). Its description in RNAcentral is "snRNA_16495". The record is from RNAcentral. Lineage: Eukaryota; Viridiplantae; Streptophyta; Magnoliopsida; Brassicales; Brassicaceae.